RNAcentral lists this ribosomal RNA (248 nucleotides) under uncultured bacterium. RNAcentral describes it as "partial small subunit ribosomal RNA". It matches the Rfam family "Bacterial small subunit ribosomal RNA", at positions 26 to 285 of the family's 1533-position model. The record is from RNAcentral.
AGGACGAACGCUGGCGGCAUGCUUAACACAUGCAAGUCGAGCGGACAUCUUCGGAUGUUAGCGGCGAACGGGUGAGUAACACGUGGGCAACCUGCCCCUAGCUCUGGGAUAACUCCGGGAAACCGGGGCUAAUACUGGAUAUGACCGAUCCAUGCAUGUGGGUUGGUGGAAAGUUUUUCGGCUAGGGAUGGGCCCGCGGCCUAUCAGCUUGUUGGUGGGGUGAUGGCCUACCAAGGCGACGACGGGUA